Molecule: ribosomal RNA, 253 nt
Filed under: uncultured bacterium
Lineage: Bacteria
Description: partial 16S ribosomal RNA
Rfam family: Bacterial small subunit ribosomal RNA
Source: RNAcentral
UACAGAGGUCCCAAGCGUUGUUCGGAUUCAUUGGGCGUAAAGGGUGCGUAGGCGGCGCGGUAAGUCGGGUGUGAAAACUGGAGGCUCAACCUUCAGAGGUCGACCGAAACCAUCUGGCUAGAGUCCGGGAGAGGAGAGUGGAAUUCCUGGUGUAGCGGUGAAAUGCGCAGAUAUCAGGAAGAACACCCGUGGCGAAAGCGGCUCUCUGGAACGGUACUGACGCUGAGACGCGAAAGCGUGGGGAGCGAACAGG